CUGGCAGCAACCUGACACCUGUCAGGACCCAGCUGGAUGUUAUCCACCAUGGCUCUGAAGGUUUAAUCAGGGUGCUGAGAGAACCGCCACUUCUCCUGUCUGCUCUCCUGACUGUGAGCUUCACUUGGGCAGUGGCUGUGUGGGAUUCUUCUGUUCUUGGCACAUGGUGUGUUGUCUGGCACAUAAACAGCAGUUGAUAAAUAUUUGCUGAAUGAACAACUGUACUCCUCCACUCCAAGAGAGUGACAGAGUAAAGUCUCCCCACCCCGUUCCGUCCCCCACUAAAUCAGGGAGCCCUCCGGAAUUGGGAGAAUUGGACAGAAUGCCAAGGUUUGAAGGAUAAACACCAGCCUCCCAUCGGCAGCUUGACUAUCAUCCUGGCUUUAUCUGGCCAGUGAGAAUGAAAGGGGCUUUGUUACCAAGUGGACCAUUCCCAAACCGGCACGGUUCCCACUGUAAAGCCAGAAGGGGCUUUAGUGUCUUUUCAAGUUCUUUUCUAAACUCUCUUGAAUUUCAAGUCCCAGAGUCUGCUUUUCUUAUUGGAAAAUCUCCUGGUAUGAAGAGAUGGGGGGCAGGGAGCAAGAAACUCUAAGAGACACAUUCCCUGGAGGGCAGAGGAAACUGGAACUGUCUGCUGAAAUUAAUGGCUUUCUGCCUCAAAGGAACUGGAAGGAGGGCCUCCCAGGUGACCAAGGAAUCCACGGUCUCCCAGGUAAACUGUAAGAGCAUGGAGGUAUGAACACAUCACGCAAGGCUAUGGGUGAGUCGAGAUGGGAUUUGUGACUGGAGAGAGCCUCCGGGCCAGGCUGUGGUAAACACCAUCCAGGAUCCAAAACAAGAUGUGAGGAGAAGCGCAUUUCCUCUGGAGUCAUCUUCUGCCUCAUCCAAAACACUUUGCGUUUGAAAAAACACACACUCACUCUCUCUCUCUGAAGAGACCAGCCAAGAUCUGACCCCAGCCAAGAUCCAAAAAGGAGAGUGAGGGAAUAAAUGGGAUGAUUUGGACACAGAUGUUUGAAUAGAUUUCUCCUUAGGAGAGUUGAAUGGCUUAGGGAGACGGCAGAUAGAAACAUGCGCACAUAUACACAUCACUACCAAGGAUAAAGUCGGGUUGGUGCUAAUUUCUCCUUGUAUUGCAUUUCUUAAUCUUUGCUCUCGAAUGGGUCUUCCAG
Molecule: long non-coding RNA, 1172 nt
Filed under: Homo sapiens (human)
Lineage: Eukaryota; Metazoa; Chordata; Mammalia; Primates; Hominidae
Description: HSALNT0054928
Source: RNAcentral